UCUGGUCGUGUGCGGAAUGUAAUUCCAGGGUACGGGCGGGUGCUCGCCCCAGGUAACGACCGGCUUAUGAUUGGUCUUUACCAUGGCAGCGCGUCACUCGAGCAAACAAGGCAGUAGGAACAAGGCAAGGCGAAGAGUUGUUUUUCGCCCAGAUCACACACAACCUUUGUCAAAAACAGUCAACGGUUUACUGAUAUGUUUGACAAACAACGCAGUCCUGAAUAAAGCAUGCGUGGCCUGAUAUGAACUUCAACUUUAGGAUGGUAACUUAAAGUAAAACUUCAUAUUUUCGGAAUUCCCAUGGGCGGAUUCCCAUGCUGGUUUUUUGGUUUAGUCAGAAAUGAAACCUAGAAACCCAACAACAACCAUGAGAUCCACUUACGUGGGCGAUCAAAAUGAGCAGCUGACGCAUCACCAAGGGUGGAUCACUGAUUAGGCUACUGUCCGAAGGUCACCUGCAGAGAAAGCUAUAUGACCAGGCGACUUCCUCUUUAGGUAUUAGUAGCAGAGAGACUAAAGCGUGACAACAAGCCAGGCAUAUCUUGGAAAUUACAUUUUAUUUGAAUUUAGCUUUUUUCUUUUAAUCAACGUUUCGUUUCUGAGGGUUCUUCAUGGAUUUCUGGACUUCAUUGGCAGCAGGUGUUGCCUUGCUCUGGCUCCUGUGUUUUAUAGACGGCAACGUUGUGCACGAGCUGCGACUGCUCUUCCAGGCUCUCACCAAGCUGGCAUGCCACCUCUACUUGGCGAUCCUCCAGCUGCGCCGCGGCGCGAGCCACUUCAUCCGCAGCGCGAGCAACUUCAUGAACCGCACCCAGCAGCAGCCCCCUCCAUAUUCCCCAAAAGGAAACACGAAACACAGCGCCCACCACCAACCUCAUUGGCGGAGGGGCACGCUACACUUCAUAGAAGCGAUGUGCUUGGUGUGUGAAGCAGUUCCCAAUCUGACGUGCGCGGUGCUGCUCAGCUUGGGCGAGGCGCUCUGCCACGCCCUGCAGGGUUUUUCUUACGUGCUCUUUGCUCCGUUACGCUCCAUUCAGGCGUUUCUGUUCUCGCAAAUGAACGGAGAGAAAGAGAGGUGGGACAAAGAGCGCCACCUCGCGAAAGAGACCGAGAAAAAUAUGAACUCCAAAGUGCUUGAGUACAUCUCGCUGUGUGGUCAAGACCCCUUCACUGCUCUGCGAAGAGUGGCCGUGCCCCCGAGAUAAAAUAUCAUUAUUCAUCGCUUACCAUAUUAUAAUGUAGGGGAUACAUGUAAGAUAAUGCUUUAUAUUGGCUGACUGGCACUAAAGGGCGCUUUGUGUAGUCGCUAUAGGAGAUAUGUGGCUGAAAAGCAUUCAUUGUGUGCAAUAGUUGUGGCUUGAAAAGAGUACUUUGUAACCGGCGAUGAACGAAAUAUAAAGAAAAUAUUUGUUCUAUUACGCAGCCUGUGAAUUGUAUACAUCUGCAAUAAAGUUACAUUUAUUUAUUUUUUUAUUUUCUUUUUGUGGCAGAUACUGGCCUACAGAAAUGAAAGAGAAAUCUCUCAAACAACAUUUCUAUUCAGAUAGUAGGCCUAUGUUAUAAUGCGUUAUGCAACACAUUUAGCUUACUCUAUGGCCUAUUAGGGUAAGUUUUCGGCCUCCAACUGUUCCUAAAUAGAUAAAGUUUGGAUGAUAACUAAUUGGAGACAAUUGAAAGUCAUGUGUAACAUUGUUGAGUAGUUGUAGUACCUGUUAUGGCGCGCUUUAUUGUCAACGGGGGAGGGGGGAGGAUGUUUUAAGUGCAAUAUUUAUUCAUAACAUCAGAAUAUAACAUAAGAAUAAUAAGUCAAAGUUAGAUCAAAUUAAUAGUGCAUAUAUUUCAGCUUUCUUUAGACCGUUUCCGGUCAGGAUUUUAUUUUUAUUUUCAUACUUGGGCGAUGUGGUCUGACCAGUGGGGGCCGUGGCCCCCCCUGGCACCCAUGUGGCUACGCCCCUGGCUAUACAUGACACAGUACCGACCUGAUAUUUGACUACCUUAUUCUAUGGCCUGACUUGGACUCCCACACCGAACCUUGACCCUGUCGGACAGAAAUUGGUGAUAGGCCUACAUCCUCAUCCCCAAUCACAAUCCCUGGACGAUUAUCUAUGCAAUAUUUGGUUCGCAGCGAUAGCAGCGUCUAUAUAUCAACCACCAUAUCAACGUUAGAAAACAGUAUACCGUAAUGACCCGAAUAAAGGACGAACCCACUUUUCAGACGCAUUUCCAGGAAAAUAAACUCGUCCUAUAUUUGGGUCAUUAUAGUCUUAACAUUUGUUUGGCGCGAACCAAAAGAAUAUUUGUAAUAACUUUCAAACUAAACGUUUAGAAUUACUGAUUGAAGAUUAAGACAAUUAAAUGUAUAUUUCUCGGUAGAAAGGUUAUCAAAACCCAAUUUAAUGCCGAAUCUAUAUCAAAAUAUUGCAAUUUCCUCUGAGAAUAAAAGCCUAUUUUUGUGCGCAAAUGUUGCUCCUGUUGCUGUUAGUUCGUAUGAAUCUUACGAACAUUUUUGCAUAACCCUUUAAGAUAUCAUGCAAAGCAUUGUUUGAGGAUACGUUGCAUAGAUCGACCCAUCGGGCUGUCUGUGCCUGAAUGCGGGGGAGAAACCUGCUGAGCUGCCCUCACCAGCCGUCCCUUCUCCAGCUCGGCCCAGGUAACGACCGGCUGAUUGGUGCUUGCCAUUGGCAGCGCGUCACUCGAGCACACAAGGCAGUAGGAACAAGGCAAGGGGAAGAGUUGUUUAUCCCCCAGAUCACACGCAACCUUUGAUUGAACCUAUUGAUUUGUUUGACCAGCAACGCAGUCCUAAAUAAAGCAUGCAAAGCCUUCAGAAAUAGGCAAUUCAAUUCCAACACACUGUUUAAGUAUAAUGCUGCCUUAUGGGUAGACGUAGACCUGGCUUGCAACAAAGGUAUUAGUACACCUGACAGAGGGCGUAUUCCAAUGCUGGUUUGUCGGUUUAGUCAGAAACGAAACCUAAAAACCCAACAACAACGACGAUCUCCUCUUCCGUGGUAGCAGGGCGAUCAGAAUGAGCAGCUGACGCAUCACCAAUCUUUACCAUUAACUAUUAGCUGAGGCAACUCCCGGAGGACCCCUGCAGAGAAAGCUAUACGACCAUGAGCAACUUAAUGUUAAGGUAGGGUAUUAGUAGCAGAGAGACGAUAGCGUGACAAGCAAGGCAUAUCUUGAAAUUACAUUUUAUUUUAUGAUUAUUUUUGGUUUCAGAGAGGACUUCAUGGAUUGGUGGACUUCAUGUUAUUGCCUUGCUCUGGAUCCUUUGCUUUUUAGACGGUAAGAGACCAGAGUGUCCGACAUGAUUGGGAACCGCUUUAUAAUAGACACCAAGUCAGCGUCUGGGGAAUCCAGGAAAGUUUGUUGACGUCAGUGCCUGCCCUGCCAAGAAUUGUGAGCCAAAACUAUUACUUUUUUUAUUCUCAGUGUUUAAAUUCCAAUUGAAAAAGGGGUUUUCCCUACACUUUAAAGUGCAAGUGAACCAACUGUUUCAGCUGCAAUUAGAACAAAAGUAAUCGUUUUGGCUCACAGUUAUGCAGGUAAGGAACUGACUUGGAAAAUAAGAAAGAAAAUGGUCUGAGGGUUCUGGGAAGGAGCGUUGGGCACGGCAACGGGAAGGCGCGCGUGAUCACGGCGCGUGUCCCUAACGGCGUGCGUGAGGGACAAAAGUUGAACUUCGGUUAACUUUAUGCAAAUAAUCACGACUCUGACACCCGGUACUCUUUAUCCCCAGGCAACGCGGUGCACGAGCUGCGGCUGCUCUUCCAGGCGCUAACCAAGGCGACAUGCCACCUCUACUUGGCGAUCCUCCAGCUACGUCGCGCGGCCAGCCACAUCAUCCGCGGCGCGAGCAACUUCUUGAACCGCGCCCAACAGCAGCCCCCUCCAUAUUCCCCAAAAGGAAACACGAAACACAGCGCCCACCACCAACCUCAUUGGCGGAGGGGCACGCUACACUUCAUAGAAGCGAUAUGCUUGGUGUGUGAAACAGUUCCCAAUCUGACGUGCGCGGUGCUGCUCAGCUUGGGCGAGGCGCUCUCCCACGCCUUGCAGGGUUUUUUUUGCGUGCUGGCCGCCCCGUUACGCUCCAUUCAGGCGUUUCUGUUCUCGCAAAUGAACGGAGAGAAAGAGAGGUGGGACAAAGAGCGCCACCGCUUGAAGGAGACCGAGAAAAAUAUGAACUCCAAAGUGCUGGAGUACAUCUCGCUGUGUGGUCAAGACCCCUUCACUGCUCUUCGAAGAGUGGCCGUGCCCCCGAGAUAAAAUAUCUUUAUUCAUCGCUCACCAUAUUAUAAUGUAGGGGAUACAUGUAAGAUAAUGCUUUAUAUUGGCUGACUGGCACUAAAGGGCGCUUUGUGUAGUCGCUAAAGGAGUUAUGUGGCUGAAAAGCAUUCAUUGUGUGCAAUAGUUGUGGCUUGAAAAGAGUGCUUUGUAACCGGGGAUGAAACAAAUAUAAUAAAAAACAUAUUUGUUCUACAACGCAGCCUGUGAAUUGUAUACAUCUUCAGUUAAGUU
RNAcentral lists this long non-coding RNA (4527 nucleotides) under Gadus morhua (Atlantic cod). RNAcentral describes it as "lncRNA (ENSGMOG00000036006.1)". The record is from RNAcentral. Lineage: Eukaryota; Metazoa; Chordata; Actinopteri; Gadiformes; Gadidae.